AACGAACGCUGGCGGCAUGCCUAACACAUGCAAGUCGAACGAGACCUUCGGGUCUAGUGGCGCACGGGUGCGUAACGCGUGGGAACCUGCCCUUAGGUUCGGAAUAACUCCCCGAAAGGGGUGCUAAUACCGGAUAAUGUCUUCGGACCAAAGAUUUAUCGCCUUUGGAUGGGCCCGCGUUGGAUUAGCUAGUUGGUAGGGUAAAAGCCUACCAAGGCGACGAUCCAUAGCUGGUCUGAGAGGAUGAUCAGCCACACUGGGACUGAGACACGGCCCAGACUCCUACGGGAGGCAGCAGUGGGGAAUAUUGGACAAUGGGCGGAAGCCUGAUCCAGCUAUGCCGCGUGAGUGAUGAAGGCCUUAGGGUUGUAAAGCUCUUUUACCCGGGAUGAUAAUGACAGUACCGGGAGAAUAAGCUCCGGCUAACUCCGUG
This 433-nucleotide ribosomal RNA is filed under the name uncultured bacterium. RNAcentral describes it as "partial 16S ribosomal RNA". It matches the Rfam family "Bacterial small subunit ribosomal RNA", at positions 29 to 507 of the family's 1533-position model. The record is from RNAcentral.